Molecule: ribosomal RNA, 384 nt
Filed under: uncultured bacterium
Lineage: Bacteria
Description: bacterial SSU rRNA
Rfam family: Bacterial small subunit ribosomal RNA
Source: RNAcentral
GACGAACGCUGGCGGCGUGCUUAACACAUGCAAGUCGAGCGGUAAGGCCCUUUCGGGGGUACACGAGCGGCGAACGGGUGAGUAACACGUGGGUGACCUGCCCUCAGCUCUGGGAUAAGCCUGGGAAACCGGGUCUAAUACUGGAUAUGACUCCAUGACGCAUGUUGUGGGGUGGAAGCCUUGUGCGGCUGAGGAUGGGCCCGCGGCCUAUCAGCUUGUUGGUGGGGUGANGGCCUACCAAGGCGACGACGGGUAGCCGGCCUGAGAGGGCGACCGGCCACACUGGGACUGAGACACGGCCCAGACUCCUACGGGAGGCAGCAGUGGGGAAUCUUGCGCAAUGGGCGAAAGCCUGACGCAGCGACGCCGCGUGUGGGAUGACGG